RNAcentral lists this ribosomal RNA (493 nucleotides) under uncultured bacterium. RNAcentral's name for it is "partial 16S ribosomal RNA". It matches the Rfam family "Bacterial small subunit ribosomal RNA", at positions 28 to 507 of the family's 1533-position model. The record is from RNAcentral.
GACGAACGCUGGCGGCGUGCUUAACACAUGCAAGUCGAACGGUGAAGCGCCUUCCUUUUUGGUGGGUGUGGAUGAGUGGCGAACGGGUGAGUAACACGUGAGUAACCUGCCCCCUUCUUCUGGAUAACCGCAUGAAAGUGUGGCUAAUACGGGAUAUUCUGGGUCUGUCGCAUGAUGGGUCUGGGAAAGAUAUUGUUUCGGUGGGGGAUGGGCUCGCGCCUAUCAGCUUGUUGGUGGGGUGAUGGCCUACCGAGGCGGUGACGGGUAGCCGGCCUGAGAGGGUGGACGGUCACACUGGGACUGAGACACGGCCCAGACUCCUACGGGAGGCAGCAGUGGGGAAUAUUGCACAAUGGGCGCAAGCCUGAUGCAGCGACGCCGCGUGAGGGAUGGAGGCCUUCGGGUUGUGAACCUCUUUCGCCAGUGAAGCAGGCCUGCCUCGUUUGUGGGUGGGUUGACGGUAGCUGGAUAAGAAGCGCCGGCUAACUACGUG